Molecule: ribosomal RNA, 468 nt
Filed under: uncultured bacterium
Lineage: Bacteria
Description: partial 16S ribosomal RNA
Rfam family: Bacterial small subunit ribosomal RNA
Source: RNAcentral
GACGAACGCUGGCGGCGUGCUUAACACAUGCAAGUCGAACGGAAAGGCCCUGCUUUUGUGGGGUGCUCGAGUGGCGAACGGGUGAGUAACACGUGAGUAACCUGCCCUUGACUUUGGGAUAACUUCAGGAAACUGGGGCUAAUACCGGAUAGGAGCUCCUGCUGCAUGGUGGGGGUUGGAAAGUUUCGGCGGUUGGGGAUGGACUCGCGGGUUAUCAGCUUGUUGGUGGGGUAGUGGCUUACCAAGGCUUUGACGGGUAGCCGGCCUGAGAGGGUGACCGGCCACAUUGGGCCUGAGAUACGGCCCAGACUCCUACGGGAGGCAGCAGUGGGGAAUAUUGCACAAUGGGCGGAAGCCUGAUGCAGCAACGCCGCGUGCGGGAUGACGGCCUUCGGGUUGUAAACCGCUUUCGCCUGUGACGAAGCGUGAGUGACGGUAAUGGGUAAAGAAGCACCGGCUAACUACGUG